GGGGGAGCUAAUACAUGCAAGUCGAGCGCAGUCUUUUUAAAGCGAAAGCCUUCGGGCUGGAAGCUAAAAGAGCGGGCGGCGGGUGGGUGAGUAACACGUGGGCAACCUGCCCUUUAGCUAGGGAUACCACUUGGAAACAGGUGCUAAUACCAAAUAAGAAGCAAGAGCGCAUGCUCAAGCUAUGAAAGGCGGCUUUCGAGCUGACACUAAAGGAUGGGCCCGCGGUGCAUUAUCUAGUUGGUAAGGUAACGGCUUACCAAGGCAAUGAUGCAUAGCCGAGUUGAGAGACUGAUCGGCCACAUUGGGACUGAGACACGGCCCAAACUCCUACGGGAGGCAGGGAAGGGAAUCUUCCACAAUGGACGCAAGUCUGAUGGAGCAACGCCGCGUGAGUGAAGAAGGUUUUCGGAUCGUAAAGCUCUGUUGUUGGUGAAGAAGGAUGUGAAUAGUAACUGAUUCAUAUUUGACGGUAAUCAACCAGAAAGUCACGGCUAACUACGUGCCAGCAGCCGCGGUAAUACGUAGGUGGCAAGCGUUGUCCGGAUUUAUUGGGCGUAAAGCGAACGCAGGCGGAAGAACAAGUCAGCUGUGAAAGCCCUCGGCUUAACCGGGGAAGUGCAACUGAAACUGUUUUUCUUGAGUGCAGAAGAGGAGAGUGGAACUCCAUGUGUAGCGGUGGAAUGCGUAGAUAUAUGGAAGAACACCAGUGGCGAAUGCGGCUCUCUGGUCUGUAACUGACGCUGAGGUUCGAGAGCAUGGGUAGCGAACAGGAUUAGAUACCCUGGUAGUCCAUGCC
Molecule: ribosomal RNA, 796 nt
Filed under: Lactobacillus sp. Taj-KH107
Lineage: Bacteria; Bacillati; Bacillota; Bacilli; Lactobacillales; Lactobacillaceae
Description: bacterial SSU rRNA
Rfam family: Bacterial small subunit ribosomal RNA
Source: RNAcentral